GCCCGAGUAGCUCAGUCGGCAGAGCAGCUGUCUUGUAAACAGCAGGUCGCAGGUUCGAUUCCUGUCUCGGGCU
Molecule: transfer RNA, 73 nt
Filed under: bacterium
Lineage: Bacteria
Also listed under: 2 other names
Description: tRNA-Thr
Rfam family: tRNA
About the family: Transfer RNA (tRNA) molecules are approximately 80 nucleotides in length. Their secondary structure includes four short double-helical elements and three loops (D, anti-codon, and T loops).
Source: RNAcentral